AUUCCAUUCCUUAUUGCACCUUAAGUCUCAGCUGUAAAGUACGAUGGUGUGUAUAUAUAUAUAUGCAUACCUUGGAGGUACUGCAGGUUCAAUUUGAGACCACUGCAAUUAAGCAAACAUCAUAAUAAAAUCAAAAGGCAGGAUGUGGAUGAAUUGCCCAAAUUACUUUGCCAACAUAAGGCAGCAGCCAGUCUGAGCUCUGAUCUAUAUCCCAGCUAGCAAAGAGUCAAAGAGCCUCUUAAUUCAAUUUCCUAUAAUCUCCAACUAAAUCCCACUGGAAAAUUCUCAUCAUAUUUCAAGAGAGCCCUUGGACUUUUGUUAGGAUGGACUUAACUCUCAUCUUUGCAAAAAGACAGUGUUCCCAUGGUGAUGAGGAUGACAUCAUCGGGACUGGUUCCUGCCGUGAAUACAGUCCCAUUGAUCACCACGGGAAUAGAUGGGAUAAGAGAUAACAGGAUUUUCUGUACAAACACAGUGAGAAAAAUGGGUAUCUAAGAAAUUAAAUACACUUGUGUAAGGUCACACAGCUGACAAGAGGCCAAUCUGGAAUUUGAACCCAGUCUACCACUCUCUUAAAGGACCCCAAGAAGAUAUGGAAUUGAUGCAUCAUCCCAGAAGCACUCUAAAGACUACCCAGCAGGGCUUUCCAGCAGCCACAUAAACGUCCUAUAAAGCCUCUCUUCACACCUAGGUCACACAAAGGUGGGAAAGACUCAGUGCUGUCCUGAAGACUGUCCAGUUCCUGAAAUCCAUAUGUUCACUGGAUCUUUAUGUGUACAACAUUCCUCUUUAGCCCUCACUGGCGAGCAUCCUCUCAUGCCAGUGUCUCCACUCUUAACUACUCUCCCCUCCUCCCUCCUGGAAUCUUGGAGGAUUUCUGAGAGUCUACCAUCAUUGCAACACAUUUCUCCUCCAUUAUAACAUCAACCAUGCCACACUUUCCAU
This is a long non-coding RNA of Gorilla gorilla gorilla (western lowland gorilla), 945 nucleotides long. RefSeq lists it as uncharacterized. The record is from RefSeq and is a predicted model, not a curated record. The transcript is spliced from 5 exons. Lineage: Eukaryota; Metazoa; Chordata; Mammalia; Primates; Hominidae.